Molecule: long non-coding RNA, 282 nt
Organism: Odocoileus virginianus texanus
Lineage: Eukaryota; Metazoa; Chordata; Mammalia; Artiodactyla; Cervidae
Source: RefSeq, a predicted model, not a curated record
UACAAAGCCUCUACAAGAAAGUAUGCAGCUUUCUGACAGCUCACAGAAUGGGUAGAAGUCCACACUUCUACACCAAAAUAACAGUAACAAAUGGAGGUAUAAUACAUUGAGGUAGCUGGGAUAUCAAGCCACUAAGUAGAAGAAAUCUGCUUCCAGAGCUUCCCACUGAUUUACAGGAAGAACUAAGCGUCUGUGGUGUUAAUCUUCUGAGAUUUUGUCUUCAGGCACCACAGCAUAAAAUAUCCUAUCCUGAGAGAGAUUCAAUAAAUUAUUUAAAACUGG